AUGACCUGGACCCUGCUCCUCCUCCAGUUCCUGCUCACUUGCUGCCCAGGGUCCAAUUCGCAGACUGUGGUGACUCAGGAGCCCUCACUGACUGUGUCCCCAGGAGGGAAAGUCACUCUCACCUCUGCUUCCAGCACUGGAGCACUCACCAGUGGUCACUAUCCAAACUGGUUCCACAGAAACCUGGACAAGCCCCCAGGGCACUGAUUUAUGAUACGAGCAACAAACACUCCUGGACCCCUGCCCGGUUCUCAGGCUCCCUACUUGGGGGCAAAGCUGCCCUGACACUGUCAGGUGCGCAGCCUGAGGACGAGGCUGAGUAUUACUGCUCGCUCUACUAUAGCGGUGCUCAGCACAGUGACAGACUCAUAAGAGGUUUCCUGGACAGUGAUGGGCCACACUCUCCCAACUUCCAACCACCCGCUCCUCACAAAGAAUAA
Molecule: non-coding RNA, 440 nt
Organism: Nomascus leucogenys (northern white-cheeked gibbon)
Lineage: Eukaryota; Metazoa; Chordata; Mammalia; Primates; Hylobatidae
Source: the annotation of a RefSeq genome assembly